ACCUUCGUGGUGUAAUGAUCAGCACGCUCGACGCGUAACCGAGAGGUCCGUGGUUCGAUUCCCGGCGAAGGCG
RNAcentral lists this transfer RNA (73 nucleotides) under Stegodyphus mimosarum. It matches the Rfam family "tRNA". From Rfam's summary of the family: Transfer RNA (tRNA) molecules are approximately 80 nucleotides in length. The record is from Rfam by way of RNAcentral. Lineage: Eukaryota; Metazoa; Arthropoda; Arachnida; Araneae; Eresidae.